Nothoprocta perdicaria is the source of this 623-nucleotide long non-coding RNA. RefSeq lists it as uncharacterized. The transcript has 3 exons. Lineage: Eukaryota; Metazoa; Chordata; Aves; Tinamiformes; Tinamidae. The record is from RefSeq and is a predicted model, not a curated record.
UCCCUCUCUUUUAUUUUUCAUGGGAUCAGUAAAUAGUAAAUUGGUCCCCAGUAAUCUACUGGAAGGAGCCAAAAGGAAUUCAUGAAUAUUAUCCUGUUCCAGAAGAUUGGUUAUCUGCUACUGAGCUCAGCAGGUAUUUCCUCUCUGAAAAUCUCCUUCCCUGCAAGUGUGCUGCAUUCGGAAGUUCUGUUGUGCUCCUUGGAGAAGUUAGCUGCCGUUCCUAGAGCCAUGCAGCUGAGUGCUGUGGUCUGACUCUUCCGAGUGCUGGAGAUGCAACAGUUUGUCAAGGUGCAAGGUAACACUGGGAAGUGAAAUCUUGCCCUCUUCAGGAUACUAAUCGCCACUCAGCUCCCACUCCGUGCUCUCUUAUCCUGGAAACCUUUUUGCCCACAGCAGGAACACGUUAUCCUGAAAGCCACGCAUCCAUUUCACACAGGAACUCUUCAGCCRCCAUCGGCUGGCAAUGGAUUUCAGCCUGCGCUGCCCUGCAGGCCUAGCAGCCUGGAGAUGAGGCAGCUCUGCUUCCCAUUACCCAUCUCUGCGCCUUGUCCCGCUUCCCGAGGCCUCGCAUUAGGUCCGGCCUUGCGGGGAGGUCAGCGCAGGCCUGUGGGCCAUGCAGCUGG